UAGGGAAUCUUCGGCAAUGGACGGAAGUCUGACCGAGCAACGCCGCGUGAGUGAAGAAGGUUUUCGGAUCGUAAAGCUCUGUUGUAAGAGAAGAACGAGUGUGAGAGUGGAAAGUUCACACUGUGACGGUAUCUUACCAGAAAGGGACGGCUAACUACGUGCCAGCAGCCGCGGUAAUACGUAGGUCCCGAGCGUUGUCCGGAUUUAUUGGGCGUAAAGCGAGCGCAGGCGGUUAGAUAAGUCUGAAGUUAAAGGCUGUGGCUUAACCAUAGUACGCUUUGGAAACUGUUUAACUUGAGUGCAAGAGGGGAGAGUGGAAUUCCAUGUGUAGCGGUGAAAUGCGUAGAUAUAUGGAGGAACACCGGUGGCGAAAGCGGCUCUCUGGCUUGUAACUGACGCUGAGGCUCGAAAGCGUGGGGAGCAAACAGGAUUAGAUACCCUGGUAGUCCACGCCGUAACGAUGAGUGCUAAGUGUUAGACCCUUUCCGGGGUUUAGUGCCGUAGCUAACGCAUUAAGCACUCCGCCUGGGGAGUACGACCGCAAGGUUG
RNAcentral lists this ribosomal RNA (549 nucleotides) under uncultured bacterium. Its description in RNAcentral is "bacterial SSU rRNA". It matches the Rfam family "Bacterial small subunit ribosomal RNA", at positions 355 to 896 of the family's 1533-position model. The record is from RNAcentral.